RNAcentral lists this ribosomal RNA (327 nucleotides) under uncultured eukaryote. Its description in RNAcentral is "partial 18S ribosomal RNA". It matches the Rfam family "Eukaryotic small subunit ribosomal RNA", at positions 1470 to 1796 of the family's 1831-position model. The record is from RNAcentral.
CCCUUAGAUGUUCUGGGCCGCACGCGCGCUACACUGAUUCAUGCAACAAGUUUUGUCCUUGGCUGAUAGGCCUGGGUAAUCUUUGAACGUGAAUCGUGAUGGGGAUAGAUGAUUGCAAUUAUUCAUCUUCAACGAGGAAUUCCUAGUAAACGCAAGUCAUCAGCUUGCAUUGAUUACGUCCCUGCCCUUUGUACACACCGCCCGUCGCACCUACCGAUCGAAUGGUCCGGUGAAAUCUUCGGAUCUGAGAGAUGUCUGAUUAAUUUCGGACGCCUUUUGGAAAAGUUGUUUAAACCUUACCAUUUAGAGGAAGGUGAAGUCGUAACA